RNAcentral lists this unclassified non-coding RNA (211 nucleotides) under plant metagenome. RNAcentral describes it as "partial contains small subunit ribosomal RNA, internal transcribed spacer 1, and 5.8S ribosomal RNA". The record is from RNAcentral.
UUUCCGUAGGUGAACCUGCGGAAGGAUCAUUCAUAAUAAAGUGUUUUAUGGCACUUUUUAAAAAUCCAUAUCCACCUUGUGUGCAAUGUUAGAUCUCGUCAAUCUUGGCGAGAUUUUUAUACAUCAACUCGUUCUUUAACUAAUUUGUCUGAAAAAUAUUAUGAAUACUUAAUUCAAAAUACAACUUUCAACAACGGAUCUCUUGGCUCUC